Molecule: transfer RNA, 66 nt
Filed under: Cyclograpsus intermedius
Lineage: Eukaryota; Metazoa; Arthropoda; Malacostraca; Decapoda; Varunidae
Description: tRNA-Asp
Source: RNAcentral
AAGGAAUUAGUUAAAUACUCAUAACCUUUGCCUGUCACGCAAAAAUUAUCUACAAGAUAUUCCUUA